Molecule: ribosomal RNA, 251 nt
Filed under: uncultured bacterium
Lineage: Bacteria
Description: partial 16S ribosomal RNA
Rfam family: Bacterial small subunit ribosomal RNA
Source: RNAcentral
ACUCCUACGGGAGGCAGCAGUGGGGAAUAUUGGACAAUGGGCGGAAGCCUGAUCCAGCAACGCCGCGUGGGGGAUGAAGGCCUUCGGGUUGUAAAACCUCUUUCAGUACCGACGAAGCUUUUUGUGACGGUAGGUACAGAAGAAGCACCGGCCAACUACGUGCCAGCAGCCGCGGUAAUACGUAGGGUGCGAGCGUUGUCCGGAAUUAUUGGGCGUAAAGCGUGCGCAGGCGGUCUGUUAAGCGAGAUGUG